AAUUAUAAAGCUUUUAUAGCUUAUGUUUUGAAAGCAUACUUUUUAGUUAAUUCUAAUAUAAUUU
This 64-nucleotide transfer RNA is filed under the name Scutigerella causeyae. RNAcentral's name for it is "tRNA-Ser". The record is from RNAcentral. Lineage: Eukaryota; Metazoa; Arthropoda; Symphyla; Scutigerellidae.